CCUACGGGUGGCAGCAGUGGGGAAUAUUGGACAAUGGGCGAAAGCCUGAUCCAGCAAUGCCGCGUGAGUGAUGAAGGCCUUAGGGUCGUAAAGCUCUUUUACCAGGGAUGCAGUACCUGGAGAAUAAGCUCCGGCUAACUCCGUGCCAGCAGCCGCGGUAAUACGGAGGGAGCUAGCGUUGUUCGGAAUUACUGGGCGUAAAGCGUACGUAGGCGGUUAUUCAAGUCAGAGGUGAAAGCCCGGGGCUCAACCCCGGAACUGCCUUUGAAACUAGAUAGCUAGAGUCUUGGAGAGGUCAGUGGAAUUCCGAGUGUAGAGGUGAAAUUCGUAGAUAUUCGGAAGAACACCAGUGGCGAAGGCGACUGACUGGACAGACUGACGCUGAGGUACGAAAGCGUGGGGAGCAAACAGGAUUAGAUACCCUUGUAGUC
Molecule: ribosomal RNA, 431 nt
Filed under: uncultured bacterium
Lineage: Bacteria
Description: partial 16S ribosomal RNA
Rfam family: Bacterial small subunit ribosomal RNA
Source: RNAcentral